UUUUGGACGAACUUUGGAAGAAAAUAUCUUAGGCUACGAUCAAAGAAAAGAAAGUAGACACAAUAAGGAGUUUGUGAAAGGAAAGUUGAAGUAAUUCAAGUACCGGAAGCUCAAGAAAAGAGGUGAUAAGGAGUUGGUCGAGGUCGGGAGAGGACUCUGAAGAAGGUGCCAUAGACUAACCUCACCUGUCGUCCUCAAUCCUUUUGUUUAAAGUGUUUUGUAUCUGUUCCUUAUUUUGUGU
Long non-coding RNA from Cucurbita maxima (winter squash), 241 nucleotides. RefSeq lists it as uncharacterized. The transcript has 3 exons. The record is from RefSeq and is a predicted model, not a curated record. NCBI's taxonomy places the organism in Eukaryota, Viridiplantae, Streptophyta, Magnoliopsida, Cucurbitales, Cucurbitaceae.